AAGCUGAGUAUCUUGUACUGAAUACAUAGGUGCAAGAGGCGAACCAGGGGAACUGAAACAUCUAAGUACCCUGAGGAAUAGAAAUCAACCGAGAUUCCCUUAGUAGUGGCGAGCGAACGGGGACCAGCCCUUAAGUUGGUUUGAGAUUAGUGGAACGCUCUGGAAAGUGCGGCCAUAGUGGGUGAUAGCCCCGUACACGAAAAUCUCUUAUCAAUGAAAUCGAGUAGGACGGAGCACGAGAAACUUUGUCUGAAUAUGGGGGGACCAUCCUCCAAGGCUAAAUACUACUGACUGACCGAUAGUGAACCAGUACCGUGAGGGAAAGGCGAAAAGAACCCCGGAGAGGGGAGUGAAAUAGAACCUGAAACCGUAUGCGUACAAGCAGUGGGAGCCUACUUUGUUAGGUGACUGCGUACCUUUUGUAUAAUGGGUCAGCGACUUAUAUUCAGUGGCGAGCUUAACCGAAUAGGGGAGGCGUAGCGAAAGCGAGUCUUAAUAGGGCGUUUAGUCGCUGGGUAUAGACCCGAAACCGGGCGAUCUAUCCAUGGGCAGGUUGAAGGUUAGGUAACACUGACUGGAGGACCGAACCGACUACCGUUGAAAAGUUAGCGGAUGACCUGUGGAUCGGAGUGAAAGGCUAAUCAAGCUCGGAGAUAGCUGGUUCUCCUCGAAAGCUAUUUAGGUAGCGCCUCAUGUAUCACUCCAGGGGGUAGAGCACUGUUUCGGCUAGGGGGUCAUCCCGACUUACCAAACCGAUGCAAACUCCGAAUACCUGGAAGUGCCGAGCAUGGGAGACACACGGCGGGUGCUAACGUCCGUCGUGAAAAGGGAAACAACCCAGACCGUCAGCUAAGGUCCCAAAGUCAUGGUUAAGUGGGAAACGAUGUGGGAAGGCUUAGACAGCUAGGAGGUUGGCUUAGAAGCAGCCAUCCUUUAAAGAAAGCGUAAUAGCUCACUAGUCGAGUCGGCCUGCGCGGAAGAUGUAACGGGGCUCAAACCAUGCACCGAAGCUACGGGUAUCAUCUUA
RNAcentral lists this ribosomal RNA (1027 nucleotides) under Pseudomonas monteilii. RNAcentral describes it as "partial 23S ribosomal RNA". It matches the Rfam family "Bacterial large subunit ribosomal RNA", at positions 141 to 1216 of the family's 2925-position model. Lineage: Bacteria; Pseudomonadati; Pseudomonadota; Gammaproteobacteria; Pseudomonadales; Pseudomonadaceae. The record is from RNAcentral.